Molecule: transfer RNA, 77 nt
Filed under: Sphingomonas sp.
Lineage: Bacteria; Pseudomonadati; Pseudomonadota; Alphaproteobacteria; Sphingomonadales; Sphingomonadaceae
Description: tRNA-Arg
Rfam family: tRNA
About the family: Transfer RNA (tRNA) molecules are approximately 80 nucleotides in length.
Source: RNAcentral
GGCUGCGUAGCUCAGUUGGAUAGAGCGACGGUUUCCUAAACCGCAGGUCGCAGGUUCGAGUCCUGCCGUGGCCACCA